RNAcentral lists this ribosomal RNA (459 nucleotides) under uncultured bacterium. RNAcentral describes it as "partial 16S ribosomal RNA". It matches the Rfam family "Bacterial small subunit ribosomal RNA", at positions 338 to 795 of the family's 1533-position model. The record is from RNAcentral.
CCUACGGGGGGCAGCAGUGAGGAAUAUUGGUCAAUGGCCGGAAGGCUGAACCAGCCAAGCCGCGUGAAGGACGAAGGUGCCAAGCAUCGUAAACCUCUUUUGUCAAGGAACAAAAUCAGGCACGAGAGCCUGACCGAGGGUACCUGAAGAAAAAGCAUCGGCUAACUCCGUGCCAGCAGCCGCGGUAAUACGGAGGAUGCGAGCGUUAUCCGGAUUUAUUGGGUUUAAAGGGUGCGUAGGCGGGCUGUUAAGUCAGCGGUAAAAGCCCGGGGCUCAACCCCGGCGAGCCGUUGAAACUGGCGGGCUUGAGAUGUAGAGAGGUAUGCGGAAUGCGCAGUGUAGCGGUGAAAUGCUUAGAUAUUGCGCAGAACUCCGAUUGCGAAGGCAGCAUACCGGCGGCGAUCUGACGCUGAGGCACGAAAGCGUGGGUAUCGAACAGGAUUAGAUACCCGGGUAGUC